Molecule: ribosomal RNA, 465 nt
Filed under: uncultured bacterium
Lineage: Bacteria
Description: partial 16S ribosomal RNA
Rfam family: Bacterial small subunit ribosomal RNA
Source: RNAcentral
UGGGGAAUAUUGCACAAUGGGCGAAAGCCUGAUGCAGCGACGCCGCGUGAGGGAUGACGGCCUUCGGGCUGUAAACCUCUUUCAGCAGGGAAGAAGCGAAAGUGACGGUACCUGCAGAAGAAGCGCCGGCUAACUACGUGCCAGCAGCCGCGGUAAUACGUAGGGCGCAAGCGUUGUCCGGAAUUAUUGGGCGUAAAGAGCUCGUAGGCGGUUAGUCGCGUCUGCUGUGAAAACUCGAGGCUCAACCUCGGGCUUGCAGUGGGUACGGGCUGACUAGAGUGCGGUAGGGGUGACUGGAAUUCCUGGUGUAGCGGUGGAAUGCGCAGAUAUCAGGAGGAACACCGAUGGCGAAGGCAGGUCACUGGGCCGCAACUGACGCUGAGGAGCGAAAGCAUGGGGAGCGAACAGGAUUAGAUAGCCCUGGUAGUCCAUGCCGUAAACGUUGGGCACUAGGUGUGGGGUCCA